AAAUUGAAGAGUUUGAUCAUGGCUCAGAUUGAACGCUGGCGGCAGGCCUAACACAUGCAAGUCGAACGGUAACAGGAAGCAGCUUGCUGCUUCGCUGACGAGUGGCGGACGGGUGAGUAAUGUCUGGGAAACUGCCUGAUGGAGGGGGAUAACUACUGGAAACGGUGGCUAAUACCGCAUAACGUCGCAAGACCAAAGAGGGGGACCUUCGGGCCUCUUGCCAUCAGAUGUGCCCAGAUGGGAUUAGCUUGUUGGUGAGGUAACGGCUCACCAAGGCGACGAUCCCUAGCUGGUCUGAGAGGAUGACCAGCCACACUGGAACUGAGACACGGUCCAGACUCCUACGGGAGGCAGCAGUGGGGAAUAUUGCACAAUGGGCGCAAGCCUGAUGCAGCCAUGCCGCGUGUAUGAAGAAGGCCUUCGGGUUGUAAAGUACUUUCAGCGGGGAGGAAGGUGUUGUGGUUAAUAACCGCAGCAAUUGACGUUACCCGCAGAAGAAGCACCGGCUAACUCCGUGCCAGCAGCCGCGGUAAUACGGAGGGUGCAAGCGUUAAUCGGAAUUACUGGGCGUAAAGCGCACGCAGGCGGUCUGUCAAGUCGGAUGUGAAAUCCCCGGGCUCAACCUGGGAACUGCAUUCGAAACUGGCAGGCUUGAGUCUUGUAGAGGGGGGUAGAAUUCCAGGUGUAGCGGUGAAAUGCGUAGAGAUCUGGAGGAAUACCGGUGGCGAAGGCGGCCCCCUGGACAAAGACUGACGCUCAGGUGCGAAAGCGUGGGGAGCAAACAGGAUUAGAUACCCUGGUAGUCCACGCCGUAAACGAUGUCUACUUGGAGGUUGUGCCCUUGAGGCGUGGCUUCCGGAGCUAACGCGUUAAGUAGACCGCCUGGGGAGUACGGCCGCAAGGUUAAAACUCAAAUGAAUUGACGGGGGCCCGCACAAGCGGUGGAGCAUGUGGUUUAAUUCGAUGCAACGCGAAGAACCUUACCUGGUCUUGACAUCCACAGAACUUUCCAGAGAUGGAUUGGUGCCUUCGGGAACUGUGAGACAGGUGCUGCAUGGCUGUCGUCAGCUCGUGUUGUGAAAUGUUGGGUUAAGUCCCGCAACGAGCGCAACCCUUAUCCUUUGUUGCCAGCG
This 1133-nucleotide ribosomal RNA is filed under the name Salmonella enterica. RNAcentral describes it as "partial 16S ribosomal RNA". It matches the Rfam family "Bacterial small subunit ribosomal RNA", at positions 1 to 1123 of the family's 1533-position model. RNAcentral also lists the same sequence under 9 other names. Lineage: Bacteria; Pseudomonadati; Pseudomonadota; Gammaproteobacteria; Enterobacterales; Enterobacteriaceae. The record is from RNAcentral.